AGUGAACGCUGGCGGCAGGCCUAACACAUGCAAGUCGAACGGCAGCACGGCAGUAGCAAUACUGUGGGUGGCGAGUGGCGGACGGGUGAGGAAUACAUCGGGAUCUACCCUGUUGUGGGGGGAUAACGUAGGGAAACUUACGCUAAUACCGCAUAAGAACUGAGGUUGAAAGCGGCGGACCGCAAGGCGUCGCGCGAUUGGAUGAACCGAUGUCCGAUUAGCUAGUUGGCGGGGUAAAGGCCCACCAAGGCGACGAUCGGUAGCUGGUCUGAGAGGACGACCAGCCACACUGGAACUGAGACACGGUCCAGACUCCUACGGGAGGCAGCAGUGGGGAAUAUUGGACAAUGGGCGCAAGCCUGAUCCAGCCAUGCCGCGUGGGUGAAGAAGGCCUUCGGUUGGUUAAAG
RNAcentral lists this ribosomal RNA (408 nucleotides) under uncultured bacterium. RNAcentral describes it as "bacterial SSU rRNA". It matches the Rfam family "Bacterial small subunit ribosomal RNA", at positions 30 to 431 of the family's 1533-position model. The record is from RNAcentral.